Molecule: long non-coding RNA, 758 nt
Organism: Ipomoea nil (Japanese morning glory)
Lineage: Eukaryota; Viridiplantae; Streptophyta; Magnoliopsida; Solanales; Convolvulaceae
Exons: 3
Source: RefSeq, a predicted model, not a curated record
UCCAGUUGAAUUUUCAUUACAUGUAUGAUUGUAAAUUUUAGUGUUGGGCGUUCUGUUCCAUGAUUAUAUUUUAACUUGGAUUUUAAGUAGGAUGGAGAGUACCCUCCUGAAGAAAUUAAGCUUAUGGGGUUGCUCUGUGUUCAGUACCCUCUUGAAUCUUUUGUUUGUUUGGUUUCUUUUCUUUUCCUUGGUUUCUUUUCAGCAACAGGUUUGAUACAGCUGGUCCCAACCUGAUGAUGGGAUGCUUAGUUGGGUAAUUUCUGAGGGUGGACAGCAGGAGAAAGGGCAAGGCUAACACAAAUAGGUGGAGAAUUGGAAACCUAAUCCCAGUCUUCUACUGAUUUGCAGGCCAAAACAGAAGGGAGCAAGAUUAAGAGGGCUGCAGCCUGUUGAUUUUUGUUUGUUUUUGCAGAGGUAAAGAAUUACCCCAUCCUGAUGAAGCUGCUAAGUAAUCAGCAGCUGAUGAUACAGCAAAAACAAGCAGCCUCAUAUACUACAGCCCAUCCUGAUUGAUUGCUAAGCAAUAAAUCACCAAGUAAUUUGAUUGCUACACAAGCAUAUUUAAUAUGUUUGAGUAUGAUCAAUAGUGCUGAGCUAGUUUCUCUUGUCAGUGCACCAAAAUAAUGUGAUAGUCAUAUUAACUUCAUUUGUGGAGCUAACAGAUCUCAUCAAUGCUUAACUUAGAUCAGAUUACCCCUGUAAUUCAUGAACAAUUACAGGCACAGAAGACUAAGUCACUGGAGCGCGCUAGAACUUGG